GAACGCUGGCGGCAGGCUUAACACAUGCAAGUCGAGCGGAAACGAUGAUAGCUUGCUAUCAGGCGUCGAGCGGCGGACGGGUGAGUAAUGCAUGGGAAUCUGCCCGAUAGAGGGGGAUAGCCCGGGGAAACCCGGAUUAAUACCGCAUAUACCCUACGGGGAAAAGAUCUAUUUAUAGACCUUUCGCUAUUAGAUGAGCCUGCGUCGGAUUAGCUAGUUGGUGAGGUAAAGGCUCACCAAGGCGACGAUCCGUAGCUGGUCUGAGAGCAUGAUCAGCCACACUGGGACUGAGACACGGCCCAGACUCCUACGGCAGGCAGCAGUGGGGAAUAUUGCACAAUGGGCGCAAGCCUGAUGCAGCCAUGCCGCGUGUGUGAAGAAGGCUUUCGGGUUGUAAAGCACUUUCAGUGGGGAGGAAAAGUUAGUCUUUAAUAACUGCUUACCCUGACGUUACCUACAGAAGAAGCACCGGCUAACUCCGUGCCAGCAGCCGCGGUAAUACGGAGGGUGCAAGCGUUGUUCGGAAUUACUGGGCGUAAAGCGCGCGUAGGGGGCUUUUUAAGUCAGAUGUGAAAGUCCUCGGCUCAACCUGGGAACUGCAUUUCGAACUGGCAGGCUAGAGUAUGGUAGAGGAAAGUGGAAUUUCCUGUGUAGCGGGGAAAUGCGUAGAUAUAGGAAGGAACACCAGUGGCGAAGGCGACUCACUGGACCAAUACUGACAGUGAGGUGCCAAAGCGUGGGGAGCAAACAGGAUUAGAUCCCCUGGUAGUCCACGCCGUAAACGAUGUCUAUUAGCCGUUGGGAGACUUGAUCUCUUAGUGGCGCAGCUAACGCAAUAAGUAGACCGCCUGGGGAGUACGGCCGCAAGGUUAAAACUCAAAUGAAUUGACGGGGGCCCGCACAAGCGGUGGAGCAUGAGGUUUAAUUCGAUGCAACGCGAAGAACCUUACCUGGUCUUGACAUCCUACGAACUUACUAGAGAUAGUUUGGGUGCCUUCGGGAACUCUGUGACAGGUGCUGCAUGGCUGUCGUCAGCUCGUGUUGUGAAAUGUUGGGUUAAGUCCCGUAACGAGCUCAACCCUUAUCCUUAGUUACCAGCGGGUUAUGCCGGGGACUCUAGGGAAACUGCCGGUGACAAACCGGAGGAAGGGGGGGACGACGUCAAGUCAUCAUGGCCCUUACGAGUAGGGCUACACACGUGCUACAAUGGGACGUACAAACGGUAGCGAACCCGCGAGGGGGAGCCAAUCUGAGAAAGCGUCUCGUAGUCCGGAUUGGAGUCUGCACCUCGACUCCAUGAAGUCGGAAUCGCUAGUAAUCGUGGAUCAGAAUGCCACGGUGAAUACGUUCCCGGGCCUUGUACACACCGCCCGUCACACCAUGGGAGUUGUUUGCACCAGAAGUAGCUAGCUUAACCUUCGGGGGAGCGUUCACCACGGUGUGGUUGACGACUGGGGUGA
Molecule: ribosomal RNA, 1460 nt
Filed under: uncultured prokaryote
Description: partial 16S ribosomal RNA
Rfam family: Bacterial small subunit ribosomal RNA
Source: RNAcentral